CCAGCCAAGAGAACUGUCCAAAAGUGAUGUCCUUUGAUGUUUUAAUAUUCUGAUUCUCCAACACACAUCCUCACGUGAGCAAGCACCAAAGAUUCCAAAAAGAAGCCCCACGUUUGUUUAAAUUUUCUCAGCUGCUCUGUGACUCUGCCAUGACCCCAGCUGGAAGAUUUUUCCAGACAUGGGAUGGCUCCUGGUUUCUCUGAUGGAAGCUGUGGCAACGGAGACACUGAGGCUGUCCCUGCACAGGCUCAGGUGAUCACGGCACAGCACGGACCUCCAACCAAAAGGAAAUUCCCCCAGACCAGGAAAUAAGUCAGCGAGCAGGAAGAGGAACCCACGGCG
RNAcentral lists this long non-coding RNA (342 nucleotides) under Homo sapiens (human). RNAcentral describes it as "HSALNT0051547". The record is from RNAcentral. Lineage: Eukaryota; Metazoa; Chordata; Mammalia; Primates; Hominidae.